CUGCCACUGGGGAAGGUUUUUCUUUUGGAGAUUGCUCCUUGUGGAGUUUUCUUGUGAGCCUACAGCACUGGACAAGAGAAACUUGACGGGGGAAAAAUGAAGAGCAAUCAGCUUUAAUGAAUGUUAGCUGGAGCUGUGCAGCUUGAACCUUCCAUCAACAGAUUUCAUUCACUUUGUCCAUCAUUUAAAACUUUUCCAAAAAUUAAAUCCUUUCCAUGUGGCUCUGUUUCUUGUUGCUUCUAAAGCCAAGAGAACAGAAUUAAGGCUAGAAAUUAAGCAGAAAUGUGUUUUUCUACUUCUAUAAGGUUUGGGGAAAAUGUUAUGUUGCUUUACAAUCAAAAUUUGCUUUUACCUUAUGCAACUACUGAAUUAUAUUACUGUUAAACAAGGAAUAUUAUUAAGCAAUGAUUGAGGAGAACAACAUUGCCUUAUAUUACUUUUAGCUUGCAGAAGCCACUUUGUUU
Molecule: long non-coding RNA, 464 nt
Organism: Gallus gallus (chicken)
Lineage: Eukaryota; Metazoa; Chordata; Aves; Galliformes; Phasianidae
Source: Ensembl